Molecule: long non-coding RNA, 845 nt
Organism: Sciurus carolinensis (gray squirrel)
Lineage: Eukaryota; Metazoa; Chordata; Mammalia; Rodentia; Sciuridae
Exons: 3
Source: RefSeq, a predicted model, not a curated record
UAGUUCUGAUUACCGUCGUCAACAUGGAAGAACUCAUACUGGAGAGAAGCCCUGUGAAUGUGCACAAUGUGGGACGCCUUCACCAGCGCUCUGACCUUCGAAUGCACAAGCGAACUCAUACAGGGGAGAAGCCCUAUGAAUGUAAGCAGUUGGAAAAGCCCUUGCUACAUCCAGUCAGCUUCACUCGCAUGAAUGGACUCUUAUAGAAGUCCUUAAAAAUGUGGAAAAGCCUAGAACUCACUCUGCAGAGAAGCCCUACGAUUGUGAACAAUGUGGGAAAGCCUUCACUGGUUCCUCUUACCUUCACAUAGACGAACGAUUUCAUACUGCAGAGCAGCCUUGUCAGUGUGAACAUCUGGAUAAGCCUUCACUACUUCUGCUCACCUUCACACACAUGAAGCAACUCACGCUGGAGAGAAGCCCUACAAAUGCUUGCAGUGUGGGAAAACCUUCACUACAUCUAGUCAUUUCCACAUGAAUGAACUCAUGUUGGAGAAAAGCCCACUGAAUGCAAAGAAAAGUGAGAAAUCAUCUGAUAUUCUCAGUCACCUUCCAUGACAUCAUGUACUCAUAGAAAAGUCGUCGAGUGCUCUUAUAUAUAGGUUUUCACUGCAAAUGAGAGUGUUGAGUUUUCUAAUUGGUACGAGGAUUGUUGUGUACAAAUCUUACAACGAUGGUUUUCUGAUGUUGAAACUUGGUAAAGCAUGAAAAUACGACGUGGGACAAAAAGAAUAACCAAUUGCGAACAUUUCAUUGUGUGGAUAUAAAAGUGAAAUAAAACAGCAGGGAUGCGUGCUUAAUCUUCAACAUUAGAAGAAGCAGAACUCGUCACCGGUAAACGGCGG